AGAGUUUGAUCAUGGCUCAGGAUGAACGCUGGCGGCGUGCCUAAUACAUGCAAGUCGAGCGGUAAGGUUCUCACAGUUUAUUUGACCGAGCUAGGCCCUCUUAAUCCUCUCCGGCUGGAAAGGAUUAAGAAAUCGUCUAACGAAAGAAAAACGAUGGCCUGGCGCCAAACUACAUUUAGAUUAUAGAUGUAAGCGAGGUCGAAUGAAGUGUGAGAAUACACGAGCGGCGGACGGCUGAGUAACGCGUAGGAACGUACCCCAAAGUGAGGGAUAAGCCCGGGAAACCGGGUCUAAUACCGCAUGUGAUCUUCGGAUGAAAGUCUUUUAGACGCUUUGGGAGCGGCCUGCGUAUGAUUAGUUUGUUGGUGAGGUAAUGGCUCACCAAGACUACGAUCAUUAGCUGGUCUGAGAGGAUGAUCAGCCAGACUGGGACUGAGACACGGCCCAGACUCCUACGGGAGGCAGCAGUAGGGAAUUUUCCACAAUGGGCGAAAGCCUGAUGGAGCAACGCCGCGUGCAGGAGGAAGGCCUUCGGGUCGUAAACUGCUUUUAAGGGGGACGAUUUUGACGGUACCCCUAGAAUAAAGGAUCGGCUAACUCCGUGCCAGCAGCCGCGGUCAUACGGAGGAUCCAAGCGUUAUCCGGAAUUACUGGGCGUAAAGAGUUGCGUAGGUGGCAUAGCAAGCAAAUAGUGAAAUUGUGUGGCUCAACCAUACACCCAUUAUUUGAACUGCUAAGCUUGAGCAUGAGAGAGGUAGAUGGAAUUUCUAGUGUAGGAGUGAAAUCCGUAGAUAUUAGAAGGAACACCGAUGGCGUAGGCAGUCUACUGGCUCAUUGCUGACACUAAGGCACGAAAGCGUGGGGAGCGAACGGGAUUAGAUACCCCGGUAGUCCACGCCGUAAACUAUGGACGCUAGCUGUUAGGAGUAUCGACCCUUCUAGUAGCGAAGCUAACGCGUUAAGCGUCCCGCCUGUGGAGUACGGUCGCAAGACUAAAACAUAAAGGAAUUGACGGGGACCCGCACAAGCGGUGGAGCGUGUUGUUUAAUUCGAUGGUAAGCGAAGAMCCUUACCCAGGCUUGACAUCCUGUGAAGCAUUGCGAAAGCAGAGUGUGCCUUUUAGGAACACAGUGACAGGUGAUGCAUGCCCGUCGUCAG
This 1158-nucleotide ribosomal RNA is filed under the name uncultured bacterium. Its description in RNAcentral is "bacterial SSU rRNA". It matches the Rfam family "Bacterial small subunit ribosomal RNA", at positions 8 to 1058 of the family's 1533-position model. The record is from RNAcentral.